GCAGCCCUGGCGCAGCCGGCAGCGCGUGUGACUGUUAAUCACAAGGUCGACAGUUCGAUCCUGUCGGGCUGCG
Capsaspora owczarzaki ATCC 30864 is the source of this 73-nucleotide transfer RNA. It matches the Rfam family "tRNA". Rfam says of the family: Transfer RNA (tRNA) molecules are approximately 80 nucleotides in length. NCBI's taxonomy places the organism in Eukaryota, Filasterea, Ministeriida, Capsasporidae. The record is from Rfam.